RNAcentral lists this unclassified non-coding RNA (349 nucleotides) under Bombus terrestris (buff-tailed bumblebee). RNAcentral describes it as "misc RNA ENSBTSG00005037334.1". Lineage: Eukaryota; Metazoa; Arthropoda; Insecta; Hymenoptera; Apidae. The record is from RNAcentral.
UAAGUGUCGGUUUUAAGAAACGUCGUACUCUUGUAAACAGGUUGGUCAACGCAUUGCAGGGAGAUCGUAUAGGCGCAAGUAUACGGGUAUGGCUGUUCGUGCUAAAUACCAUGGAAGUUUGAGCAACGAUGUAUAUAGGGGGAUAAGCGCAGCAAGAUGUUUCCUACGAGCAAGUUAAUGAAGCCAGUGACGUGAUUAAGCCAACCGACCGUGUGGAACGAUUAACUCGAAUAAAAGCACGAUUCUGACAGAUUGCGGCCAAUCUACUCGAAAAGUAUGUAUAUAGUACCUCGCCCCCAGAAAGAAUGUGCGCACAUGUCACGCGGUGCCAAGUCCGUUAGUUACAAGU